Mytilus trossulus (common blue mussel) is the source of this 587-nucleotide long non-coding RNA. RefSeq lists it as uncharacterized. The record is from RefSeq and is a predicted model, not a curated record. The transcript is spliced from 6 exons. NCBI's taxonomy places the organism in Eukaryota, Metazoa, Mollusca, Bivalvia, Mytilida, Mytilidae.
GUAUCUCUACAACAAUGAUAUAUCUUCAAUAAAACCAUUCGCAUUUGUUAAUCUACCAAUCAUUCGAUACCUGUACCUAUACAACAAUAAGCUAACAUCAAUCGUAGAGAACACAUUUGUUAAUCUUUCAUCACUUUAUUAUCUACAUUUAAGUGGAAACAACAUUAGUCUAAUUGAGGAAAAUGCUCUAGGAAACCUGUCCCAGCUAUUAGCGUUGUACCUUGGUUCAAAUCCAAUUAACUGUGAUUGCAGUGUAAUUCCAUUUUGGUCCUGGAUAAUUGAAAGACCAUCUGUUGGAACAAGUGCUCAAUGUAGCGACGGAAAAUUUAUUAUUUCUCUGAGAUCGGCUGAGCUGGACAAAUGUAAUCCUGAUAAUUGCCAAUGCUUUAAUGGUGGAAAAUGUAUCACGAGCGGGGAUGGAAAAGUUGUUUGUGACUGUAUUGGACAAUGGACUGGUGAAUUUUGUCUAGAAAGUCAGUGUACGACAUACGACUGUGGAUUUGGAAACUGCUUUGUAGAACCAAUCAAUGGAACAGCUCAAUGUGUUUGUGACAACAAACAACCAACCUAUUGUCUUGGUAAGCACA